Molecule: RNA transcript, 5122 nt
Organism: Prionailurus viverrinus (fishing cat)
Lineage: Eukaryota; Metazoa; Chordata; Mammalia; Carnivora; Felidae
Gene: MCM9
Gene name: minichromosome maintenance 9 homologous recombination repair factor
Exons: 13
Source: RefSeq, a predicted model, not a curated record
CCGGCGCACGCGCCCUGCCCCGCCCCCAGCGGCCUCUUCGCGCCCCCCGCCUCCAGGCCCGAGCUCUCCGCAACCCUCAGCCUUGGGAGCAGCGCGUCCCCGGUGACUUCUAACACUGCAUGUCCGCCAUCACCUAGAUUCAAGAUGAAUAGUGAUCAAGUUACACUGGUUGGUCAAGUGUUUGAAUCCUAUGUUUCGGAAUACCAUAAGAAUGAUAUUCUUCUAAUCUUGAAGGAAAGAGAUGAAGAUGCUCAUUACCCAGUUGUGGUUAAUGCCAUGACCCUUUUUGAGACCAACAUGGAACUUGGGGAGUAUUUCAACACAUUCCCCAAUGAAGUACUAACAGUUUUUGAUAGCGCUCUGCGAAGAUCAGCGUUGACAAUUCUCCAGUCCCUUUCUCAGCCUGAGGGUGCCUCUAUGAAGCAGAAUCUUCAUGCCAGGAUAUCAGGGUUGCCCGUUUGUCCUGAGCUGGUGAGGGAGCACAUCCCUAAAACCAAGGAUGUGGGACACUUUUUAUCUGUCACUGGGACAGUGAUUCGAACAAGUGUGGUGAAGAUCCUGGAGUUUGAGCGGGAUUACAUGUGUAACAAAUGCAAGCAUGUAUUUGUGGUCAAGGCUGACUUUGAGCUGUACUAUACCUUCUGCCGGCCGUCCUCCUGUCCCAGCUCGGAAAGCUGUGAUUCUUCAAAAUUCACUUGCCUCUCAGGCUUAUCUUCAUCUCCAACCAGGUGUAGAGAUUAUCAGGAAAUCAAAAUUCAAGAGCAGGUUCAAAGGCUAUCUGUUGGAAGUAUUCCACGAUCUAUGAAGGUUAUCCUGGAAGAUGACCUAGUAGACAGUUGUAAAUCUGGCGAUGACCUCACUAUUUAUGGAGUCGUAAUGCAACGGUGGAAGCCCUUCCAGCAAGAUGUACGCUGUGAAGUGGAGAUAGUCCUGAAAGCCAAUUAUGUCCAAGUAAAUAAUGAGCAGUCUACAGGGAUCAUCAUGGAUGAGGAGGUCCAAAAGGAAUUUGAAGAUUUUUGGGAAUCCUAUAAGAGUGAUCCCUUUGCAGGAAGGAAUGAAAUAUUGGCCAGCUUGUGCCCUCAAGUUUUUGGGAUGUAUCUAGUGAAGCUUGCUGUGGCCAUGGUGCUGGCUGGUGGGAUUCAAAGGACUGAUGCUACAGGAACACGGGUCAGAGGUGAAUCUCAUCUUUUAUUGGUUGGGGAUCCUGGCACAGGGAAAUCUCAAUUCCUCAAGUAUGCAGCAAAGAUUACACCGAGAUCUGUGCUCACAACAGGGAUUGGAUCUACUAGUGCAGGUCUGACGGUAACUGCUGUGAAAGACUCAGGAGAAUGGAAUUUGGAGGCUGGAGCAUUAGUACUUGCAGAUGCGGGCCUUUGCUGUAUCGAUGAGUUUAACAGUCUCAAAGAGCAUGAUAGAACCAGUAUCCAUGAGGCAAUGGAGCAACAAACCAUAAGUGUUGCUAAGGCUGGCCUCGUGUGCAAGCUGAACACAAGGACCACCAUUCUGGCAGCAACUAACCCCAAAGGCCAGUAUGACCCCCACGAGUCCGUGUCCGUGAACAUUGCCCUUGGCAGCCCACUCUUAAGUCGAUUUGAUCUGAUCCUGGUUUUGCUUGAUACCAAGAAUGAAGACUGGGAUCGUAUAAUUUCCUCCUUUAUCUUAGAAAACAAAGGUUACCCAAGCAAAUCAGAAAAACUCUGGAGCAUGGAAAAGAUGAAAACCUAUUUCUGUCUGAUUCGAAAUCUACAGCCCACACUGUCCGACGUGGGUAAUCAGGUUCUUCUCCGGUACUACCAGAUGCAGAGGCAGAGUGAUUCCCGGAACGCUGCCCGGACCACCAUCCGCCUGCUGGAAAGCUUGAUCCGAUUGGCAGAAGCUCAUGCUCGCCUGAUGUUCCGUGACACUGUGACUCUGGAAGAUGCUAUUACAGCAGUGUCAGUAAUGGAAUCCUCGAUGCAGGGAGGUGCACUGCUAGGAGGUGUGAAUGCACUUCACACUUCCUUUCCUGAAAACCCUCUGCAGCAGUACCAGAGGCAGUGUGAACUCAUUCUGGAAAAGCUGGAGCUGCACAACCUCUUGAGUGAAGAGCUAAGAAGACUUGAAAGGUGAGAAGAGAAAUCCAAGAAAAGGCUUAUAAUGGAAAAUCCUUGUUUGACACUUCGUGAAAUGAGGGAAGUGGAAAUUAAGUGGAAAAUCUGUCUGUACUAUCUGUAGGGGAUUGUUUCAGUUGGCUGUUGCUGUAUAAUCAACUACCCCAAAGCUUGGCGGCUUAAAGAAACAAAAACAAAACCACCACUACCAUCAUUUUAUUGCUCACUUUUCUGAGAGUCGUAAAUUCGUUUAUCUCCACUCCACAUAGUGUCGGCUGGGAUCACUCAUAUACUUGAAUUUAGCUGGGAGCUCAGGUGGAACUGGAACAUCCAGAGUGGUUUCCCUCACAUGUGUUGUGCCUUAGUGGAGGUGGCUUAAAUGGCCAGGGGCUCUCUUUACCACAGGGGAGUCGGAAUUCUGACAUGGUAGCUUAAUGCUUCAACAGAGCAAAAAUGGAAGCCAGCAGGCCUCUUAUGAGCUGGGCCAGAACUGAUACAGCAUCAUUUCUGCCACAUUUUAUAGGUCAGAGCAAGACACAGGGUCAGCCCCCAUGCAAGGUAGGGGAAAAUAGACACCACCUCUUGAUGGGAGGAGUGACAUAGAUAUACAGGAAUGGGGGAAUUGAUGGCUGCCAUCUUUGGAGACCACCUUCUGUAGCUACAUUUCCUUGGCUUGCUGGUUUGGUGAGCCUCAUGGAGAACACUGGCAGGUUCUUUACUAUAUAUGGUAAACUGUGUAUUAAUUUACUGAAUUUAUACCACCGGUUCCCAAUUACAUGAGAAGCACCAAGGUUGGCUACUCACAGUUCACACCCAAGACAUGCAGUUUCCGUGGAAUCAAGAAGCCUUGGUAAAUGGGAUUUAUUCUGUUCACUACCACUACUUCAUCCUCUUCUCUUUCUUUGGGUCAAUAUAGGUAGAGCGGUGCCAUUUAGAAAGGUGGCUGGGAAUGCUGUUAAGAAAGAGGAAGUUGAACUCCAGGAGGUCAGUCUACCCCAGGCUAGACCCAGCCACAAAAUAUUAUCAUAAUUUGGCUUUAUCAUUUUUCCUUGCCAGGAAAGGACCAUGUGCAAGGGAGUUUACAUGAAGAAUCAUUGUGUUUAUUAAUAUUUUAAUUUUAUUCUUAAUGGUUUUAAAGCUCUUUUCCAAGCAUAAUAAAUGUUUGAUCUUUAUGUAACCCUGAAAAUCAGGUAGAAGACUGAGGCCCAGAUUGCUUUCGAGCCAGCCAAAUAGGAUGUUUUGAAAGUUUGAGAAGUGGAGAUAACUAGUAGUGACCUUUACCUGUGAAAGGCCCUCCUGGUCCAUUAGCAACAGCUCUGACCCUCCCUUCAGCAUCAUCAUUUUCCUUCCCUACAUGUGCAGAUUCAUGACCUUUAAAAUUUCACAUAUUUAACAGACAAAAAGUCUCCAGUGAGAAUGAUGUAUUUUGUUAAAGAGGGAAAGCUGUUUCUCCUCCAACAGGGUAACAACUCAAGAAUGACAAAAGCAAUGUUUCAAAACUCAGCUUUGUAAUGAUUUGUUAAAAUGUGGGAAGGAACAUGUCAUGUGCAUUACCUAGAGAAUUUUUGCCCAGACUUCAAUGUUUGCAUGCUCCCUGCAUACAUGAGCUUCUAAAAAGCUAGACUUUGAGGGUGUACCUGUGACACAUGAGUGAGCGAUGGCAGAGGUAUCCAUUUGGGUAUCUUCAUGAUCAGCGUGAGUGGCUCAAUAAUUGCCCUGAGUCUGGCAGCUGGCGUUGACCUCAAAGCUGGGAGCUGGUGAAAGGAGUUCCCGUGGAAGCAGAGCUGCUGCUGAAGGAGAAUUUAGAGACUGAGAUGGAUUGUUGACCGAACAAGUAUAACCUUGAGAAUUAUUUCCCUGGCUUUUCUCCUUUCACUCACUGCCUUCAUGUAGUAGCAUUCUCUCUCAAAUUCAUAAAACCCCAGCACAGCCUUCCUGGGGGAAGUUUGGGGACUGGCUUUGUGUUGCUAAUACCUAGUGCCCCUUGUAUAAAAUCAACCCCCUUUUCUCUUGGUCUGGUUUUUUAAUGAUCCAGAGCCUAGUGUUAAGAUGAAAGAUACUCCUUUGGUUCUUUUAUGGUUUGAUGUAGCUGAUCCUUUUUAGACCUGCCCUGGGCCCGGCUUGGCUUUUGGAAAGGCUGCUCAUUUUGACUGAGCAGAAACUGGACAUUUGGACUACCAAAAGCUGUCAUGCUGGAUUCAGGAAGGAAAGGAAUGUGAAGCUCAGAAUCAGUGUUAUGUGAUAGAAAAACAGUGGUUGAACUUACCAAAUUCAAAAUGACCCUCCUGGAGGGAAAGAAGAAGAAGGGUAGGUAAUGAUCUAAAAAAAUAGGAUUCUGCCUUAAAAUAUCCUUUUCUUCUGAUACAUCUUUGUAAUGCAGGGGCAUGUCCCAGUGUUGAUCCUCAAAGUAACAAAACCAGGUUGCCCUGCAAAUGACAAUGCAUGACCUCCAAGGCACGUCUAAGGCUAAUUUUGUUAAGUGAGAAAAGCCCACGUAGCAUAUAGUUUUAUCCCCUCAGGAAAGACUUGUCUAUUCCUUAAAGUGGUCAUAUAUGACUCAUCAAACUAUUGUACCUUUAUCACACUUUUCUUCUGGAAAAUGCUUACCAGUGACAGCCGGCCUCAAAUGGUGGUCAUUCUAUUCAUAUGAAAACAGAAUGCAAAGAGAUUGUCUUUUAGGAAGCUAUAGUAAAACUGGAAACAUUUUAUGUAGGGGAGAAUUUAAUUCCCAAAGUCAGAAUAAGACUAAAAUGGUAGGGCUAAAUUAUUCUAUGCCUUAAAUUCACUGUCUUUUAGAACAUUUUUUAUGGAGCUUUAACAAUUAUGAAUAUCUCUGACCCCAAUUUGAUGUAUAUUUGAUAGAAGUAAUUUUGCAAGCUAUUUUGGGUUUUUUUUGUUUGGCUUUGACUGUGGUGAAUAUGGAUUUUGCUGUAUUGAUGUGUCCAAAUCUAUAGUGAGUGAAUAUAACCCAGUAUUUUUAUCAUAAUUUUUUGUGGGUUUUUUUUCCUGAUCAUAAGAGACUUUCUCUUAUA